AAGUCGUAACAAGGUCUUCGUAGGUGAACCUGCGAAGGGAUCAUUAACACGUUCCAAACCAAAUUAUCAACCCAUCUGUGAACUUUUGUUACCGCCGAUAUGGCUAACUGUGAGUGUAUGGCGCAUACGACUUCGACUCAAUGAUGAAGCAUGGAACGAGAGUUCCAUGCACGGUCUAGUAUGCCUUCAGUGUUCGCAAGAGCAGCUAUCCUCAUGGUUGGUCCGGCCCUAUAUAUGCGCUUCGGCAGCCGUCAUCUGCUGUCGAUUCUCAUAUCACACACGCCCUGUGGCUCGUAUGCUGCGUAAUAGCAGCCUACCAGGCACACUAUAUCAAUUUAUCCUCAAACUGCUAUGUCGACGUCCAGUCGAUGUAUGCUAAACUAAACUAACAGUGAACAACUCUUAGCAAUGGAUAUCUUGGUUCUC
RNAcentral lists this unclassified non-coding RNA (426 nucleotides) under fungal sp. RNAcentral describes it as "partial internal transcribed spacer region". The stretch from base 1 to 46 matches the Rfam family "Eukaryotic small subunit ribosomal RNA", at positions 1786 to 1831 of the family's 1831-position model. The record is from RNAcentral. Lineage: Eukaryota; Fungi.